UUAAGCGACUAAGCGUACACGGUGGAUGCCCUGGCAGUCAGAGGCGAUGAAGGACGUGCUAAUCUGCGAUAAGCGUCGGUAAGGUGAUAUGAACCGUUAUAACCGGCGAUUUCCGAAUGGGGAAACCCAGUGUGUUUCGACACACUAUCAUUAACUGAAUCCAUAGGUUAAUGAGGCGAACCGGGGGAACUGAAACAUCUAAGUACCCCGAGGAAAAGAAAUCAACCGAGAUUCCCCCAGUAGCGGCGAGCGAACGGGGAGCAGCCCAGAGCCUGAAUCAGUGUGUGUGUUAGUGGAAGCGUCUGGAAAGGCGCGCGAUACAGGGUGACAGCCCCGUACACAAAAAUGCACAUGCUGUGAGCUCGAUGAGUAGGGCGGGACACGUGGUAUCCUGUCUGAAUAUGGGGGGACCAUCCUCCAAGGCUAAAUACUCCUGACUGACCGAUAGUGAACCAGUACCGUGAGGGAAAGGCGAAAAGAACCCCGGCGAGGGGAGUGAAAAAGAACCUGAAACCGUGUACGUACAAGCAGUGGGAGCACGCUUAGGCGUGUGACUGCGUACCUUUUGUAUAAUGGGUCAGCGACUUAUAUUCUGUAGCAAGGUUAACCGAAUAGGGGAGCCGAAGGGAAACCGAGUCUUAACUGGGCGUUAAGUUGCAGGGUAUAGACCCGAAACCCGGUGAUCUAGCCAUGGGCAGGUUGAAGGUUGGGUAACACUAACUGGAGGACCGAACCGACUAAUGUUGAAAAAUUAGCGGAUGACUUGUGGCUGGGGGUGAAAGGCCAAUCAAACCGGGAGAUAGCUGGUUCUCCCCGAAAGCUAUUUAGGUAGCGCCUCGUGAAUUCAUCUCCGGGGGUAGAGCACUGUUUCGGCAAGGGGGUCAUCCCGACUUACCAACCCGAUGCAAACUGCGAAUACCGGAGAAUGUUAUCACGGGAGACACACGGCGGGUGCUAACGUCCGUCGUGAAGAGGGAAACAACCCAGACCGCCAGCUAAGGUCCCAAAGUCAUGGUUAAGUGGGAAACGAUGUGGGAAGGCCCAGACAGCCAGGAUGUUGGCUUAGAAGCAGCCAUCAUUUAAAGAAAGCGUAAUAGCUCACUGGUCGAGUCGGCCUGCGCGGAAGAUGUAACGGGGCUAAACCAUGCACCGAAGCUGCGGCAGCGACGCUUAUGCGUUGUUGGGUAGGGGAGCGUUCUGUAAGCCUGUGAAGGUGUGCUGUGAGGCAUGCUGGAGGUAUCAGAAGUGCGAAUGCUGACAUAAGUAACGAUAAAGCGGGUGAAAAGCCCGCUCGCCGGAAGACCAAGGGUUCCUGUCCAACGUUAAUCGGGGCAGGGUGAGUCGACCCCUAAGGCGAGGCCGAAAGGCGUAGUCGAUGGGAAACAGGUUAAUAUUCCUGUACUUGGUGUUACUGCGAAGGGGGGACGGAGAAGGCUAUGUUGGCCGGGCGACGGUUGUCCCGGUUUAAGCGUGUAGGCUGGUUUUCCAGGCAAAUCCGGAAAAUCAAGGCUGAGGCGUGAUGACGAGGCACUACGGUGCUGAAGCAACAAAUGCCCUGCUUCCAGGAAAAGCCUCUAAGCAUCAGGUAACAUCAAAUCGUACCCCAAACCGACACAGGUGGUCAGGUAGAGAAUACCAAGGCGCUUGAGAGAACUCGGGUGAAGGAACUAGGCAAAAUGGUGCCGUAACUUCGGGAGAAGGCACGCUGAUAUGUAGGUGAAGUCCCUCGCGGAUGGAGCUGAAAUCAGUCGAAGAUACCAGCUGGCUGCAACUGUUUAUUAAAAACACAGCACUGUGCAAACACGAAAGUGGACGUAUACGGUGUGACGCCUGCCCGGUGCCGGAAGGUUAAUUGAUGGGGUCAGCGCAAGCGAAGCUCUUGAUCGAAGCCCCGGUAAACGGCGGCCGUAACUAUAACGGUCCUAAGGUAGCGAAAUUCCUUGUCAGGU
This 1949-nucleotide ribosomal RNA is filed under the name human gut metagenome. Its description in RNAcentral is "bacterial LSU rRNA". It matches the Rfam family "Bacterial large subunit ribosomal RNA", at positions 1 to 1977 of the family's 2925-position model. The record is from RNAcentral.